GGGGGGUGCAAGCGUUGUUCGGAAUUAUUGGGCGUAAAGCGCGUGUAGGCGGUUUGUUAAGUCUGAUGUGAAAGCCCUGGGCUCAACCCAGGAAGUGCAUUGGAAACUGGCAGACUUGAAUACGGGAGAGGGCAGUGGAAUUCCUAGUGUAGGAGUGAAAUCCGUAGAUAUUAGGAGGAACACCGGUGGCGAAGGCGGCUGCCUGGACCGAUAUUGACGCUGAGACGCGAAAGCGUGGGUAGCAAACAGGAUUAGAUACCCUGGUAGUCCACGCCGUAAACGAUGAGUACUAGGUGUUGCGGGUAUUGACCCCUGCAGUGCCGCAGCUAACGCAUUAAGUACUCCGCCUGGGAAGUACGGUCGCAAGACUA
Molecule: ribosomal RNA, 371 nt
Filed under: uncultured bacterium
Lineage: Bacteria
Description: bacterial SSU rRNA
Rfam family: Bacterial small subunit ribosomal RNA
Source: RNAcentral